UUCGUCGCUCUAAAGCAUUCAAGCAAAAACUAGAUGAAGGGGAUGGCUGUCAGUCUUUAGGUGAAAGUUAUGUCCAAUGUGUCCAACCCAUUCCUGCACUAGAGGACUCCCAUUCAUCAGUGAAGAAUUUGGAGCUGCCAAACUUUGAUGGCACUGGUCCUAUUGGUUGGUUGGCUAGAGCUAAGCAAUACUUCAAGCUUCAUGGAACUCGUCUUGCCAUGAAAGUUACUAUGGCCCUUAUUUCCAUGGAAGGCAUCGCGUUACAUUGGCUUCGCCGGUUAUGUGAAAGGAUUUCGGGCCUUGGGAACAAUUCUCUACAGAGUUGAUUAAACAUUAUGCUAAUGAUAUGAUGGCUAGUCCUUUCGAACGCCUUACUGCUGUGCGACAAACUUCUUCCGUUAAUGCCUAUAUAGAUGAGUUUGUAUCCAAAGCUGUUCAAGUUCCUCAUGU
This 450-nucleotide unclassified non-coding RNA is filed under the name Hevea brasiliensis (rubber tree). Lineage: Eukaryota; Viridiplantae; Streptophyta; Magnoliopsida; Malpighiales; Euphorbiaceae. The record is from RNAcentral.